This 794-nucleotide ribosomal RNA is filed under the name uncultured bacterium. RNAcentral describes it as "bacterial SSU rRNA". It matches the Rfam family "Bacterial small subunit ribosomal RNA", at positions 8 to 803 of the family's 1533-position model. The record is from RNAcentral.
AGAGUUUGAUCCUGGCUCAGGAUGAACGCUGGCGGCGUGCUUAACACAUGCAAGUCGAACGAAGCAUUCUAUAUGAAGUUUUCGGAUGGAUUAUAGAAUGACUUAGUGGCGGACGGGUGAGUAACGCGUGGGUAACCUGCCUUAUACAGGGGGAUAACAGUUGGAAACGACUGCUAAUACCGCAUAAGCGCACAGUAUCGCAUGAUACGGUGUGAAAAGUUUUUCGGUAUAAGAUGGACCCGCGUCUGAUUAGCUAGUUGGUGAGGUAACGGCCCACCAAGGCGACGAUCAGUAGCCGGCUUGAGAGAGUGAACGGCCACAUUGGGACUGAGACACGGCCCAAACUCCUACGGGAGGCAGCAGUGGGGAAUAUUGCACAAUGGGGGAAACCCUGAUGCAGCGACGCCGCGUGAGUGAAGAAGUAUUUCGGUAUGUAAAGCUCUAUCAGCAGGGACGAUAAUGACGGUACCUGACUAAGAAGCCCCGGCUAACUACGUGCCAGCAGCCGCGGUAAUACGUAGGGGGCAAGCGUUAUCCGGAUUUACUGGGUGUAAAGGGAGCGUAGACGGUUUGGUAAGUCAGGUGUGAAAGCCCGGGGCUCAACCCCGGGAUUGCACUUGAAACUAUCAGGCUAGAGUGCAGGAGAGGUAAGUGGAAUUCCUAGUGUAGCGGUGAAAUGCGUAGAUAUUAGGAGGAACACCAGUGGCGAAGGCGGCUUACUGGACUGUAACUGACGUUGAGGCUCGAAAGCGUGNGGAGCAAACAGGAUUAGAUACCCUGGUAGUCCACGCCGU